This 21-nucleotide microRNA is filed under the name Sarcophilus harrisii (Tasmanian devil). RNAcentral describes it as "Sha-Mir-7284_5p* (star (passenger))". Lineage: Eukaryota; Metazoa; Chordata; Mammalia; Dasyuromorphia; Dasyuridae. RNAcentral also lists the same sequence under 1 other name. The record is from RNAcentral.
ACUAGCAUAUAGUUGGUAAUU